RNAcentral lists this ribosomal RNA (1413 nucleotides) under Acinetobacter tjernbergiae. RNAcentral describes it as "bacterial SSU rRNA". It matches the Rfam family "Bacterial small subunit ribosomal RNA". The record is from RNAcentral. Lineage: Bacteria; Pseudomonadati; Pseudomonadota; Gammaproteobacteria; Moraxellales; Moraxellaceae.
UAGAGUUUGAUCAUGGCUCAGAUUGAACGCUGGCGGCAGGCUUAACACAUGCAAGUCGAGCGGAGAUGAGGUGCUUGCACCUUAUCUUAGCGGCGGACGGGUGAGUAAUGCUUAGGAAUCUGCCUAUUAGUGGGGGACAACAUUCCGAAAGGAAUGCUAAUACCGCAUACGCCCUACGGGGGAAAGCAGGGGAUCUUCGGACCUUGCGCUAAUAGAUGAGCCUAAGUCGGAUUAGCUAGUUGGUGGGGUAAAGGCCUACCAAGGCGACGAUCUGUAGCGGGUCUGAGAGGAUGAUCCGCCACACUGGGACUGAGACACGGCCCAGACUCCUACGGGAGGCAGCAGUGGGGAAUAUUGGACAAUGGGCGGAAGCCUGAUCCAGCCAUGCCGCGUGUGUGAAGAAGGCCUUUUGGUUGUAAAGCACUUUAAGCGAGGAGGAGGCUACUUAGAUUAAUACUCUAGGAUAGUGGACGUUACUCGCAGAAUAAGCACCGGCUAACUCUGUGCCAGCAGCCGCGGUAAUACAGAGGGUGCGAGCGUUAAUCGGAUUUACUGGGCGUAAAGCGUGCGUAGGCGGCUGAUUAAGUCGGAUGUGAAAUCCCUGAGCUUAACUUAGGAAUUGCAUUCGAUACUGGUCAGCUAGAGUAUGGGAGAGGAUGGUAGAAUUCCAGGUGUAGCGGUGAAAUGCGUAGAGAUCUGGAGGAAUACCGAUGGCGAAGGCAGCCAUCUGGCCUAAUACUGACGCUGAGGUACGAAAGCAUGGGGAGCAAACAGGAUUAGAUACCCUGGUAGUCCAUGCCGUAAACGAUGUCUACUAGCCGUUGGGGCCUUUGAGGCUUUAGUGGCGCAGCUAACGCGAUAAGUAGACCGCCUGGGGAGUACGGUCGCAAGACUAAAACUCAAAUGAAUUGACGGGGGCCCGCACAAGCGGUGGAGCAUGUGGUUUAAUUCGAUGCAACGCGAAGAACCUUACCUGGCCUUGACAUAGUAAGAACUUUCCAGAGAUGGAUUGGUGCCUUCGGGAACUUACAUACAGGUGCUGCAUGGCUGUCGUCAGCUCGUGUCGUGAGAUGUUGGGUUAAGUCCCGCAACGAGCGCAACCCUUUUCCUUAUUUGCCAGCGAGUAAUGUCGGGAACUUUAAGGAUACUGCCAGUGACAAACUGGAGGAAGGCGGGGACGACGUCAAGUCAUCAUGGCCCUUACGGCCAGGGCUACACACGUGCUACAAUGGUCGGUACAAAGGGUUGCUACCUAGCGAUAGGAUGCUAAUCUCAAAAAGCCGAUCGUAGUCCGGAUUGGAGUCUGCAACUCGACUCCAUGAAGUCGGAAUCGCUAGUAAUCGCGGAUCAGAAUGCCGCGGUGAAUACGUUCCCGGGCCUUGUACACACCGCCCGUCACACCAUGGGAGUUUG